This is a long non-coding RNA of Felis catus (domestic cat), 3465 nucleotides long. RefSeq lists it as uncharacterized. NCBI's taxonomy places the organism in Eukaryota, Metazoa, Chordata, Mammalia, Carnivora, Felidae. The record is from RefSeq and is a predicted model, not a curated record. The transcript has 5 exons.
CCUGGCAUCCUUCUCCUGAGGCCGCUGGGCAACAGGGCAGUGAAGGAUGCCCCGGGGAGAGUGAGUGAAUGAGAGAGAGGAUUCGCAUGUAAAUAACAGCUGAGGUUUCCUGGAGGCUUGCUGGGGCAGGCCUUCCAAACCACCUCAGGGACCAGGUAUUAUUAUUAUUAUUAUUAUUAUUAUUAUUAUUAUUAUCAUUCUCCUCUUCCAGGUUAGGAACAUCACAGCUCAAGGUAGUGGAGGCAGGAUUUGAAUAUGCAGACAGACUGCCACCCCUGCCACAGGACUCUUACACCUGCCAGUGACAUCCCACCCCCCCCCCCCCGCCCCCCACUUCCUUCAGCCCCUGCCUCUGUCCUGGACAGUCUCCUGGGGACACUCCAAGCCCUCCCUCACCCCCAGGAGACCCCCUGCACCCAGACACAGCCCCCACAGUGAUCUCUGGCCAGACAUAAGCUUCUUAUCACUGGAGGCCAUCAUGUGCUUUCUGAGCCCCGAAGGCCUGGAUUUCCAAACAAGUCUGAUCCUAACUAAGCCGGGCUGUUGUUAAAUCCUGUACCUGCAGGUGGUCUACACUGCCUCAGCAGAUGCUUCCUCUGUCCCCACAGCAGCUCUUGAGGUCAAAUAAGGGCAAAGUAAGUUUGGGAAAUACCGAGCUAAAGCUCUACGUGGUUUCUUAACUGUGGGGCUUCUCGGAGUCUUUAAAAGGCCAAAUGAUCACUGGUCACCUGUAAGAGGGUGAGAUACAGCAGAUGAAGCAGUUCCCCCAAAAGGCUGGGACCAGGGAACCAAGGCUUUAGCACUAAGUAUCCCCAGGGAACCCACUUUGAGAACUACUUCCUAGAGCAACAUAAUUGGUCCUGGCCCAACACGGAGGCUUGUAUCAAUCAUCUGCCUACAUCAUAGCAGAAGGAAGCUUUGCAAGGAUGGCAUAACCCUCCUGGGAUUUCACAUUCUCCUAUCUCCAGCAAGUUCAACUCAGUCCCCCACCCCCACCCACCUUCUCCCUUGGAGUUGAUCGACAUGAACUUGUUUACAACUUGUGGGCAGUUUUUACAUUCUGGAAAACCACCCAGAUCAGCCAGUAGCAGAAAAGAUAAAGUCGGGCUGCUGGACAGUAAGAAGCAGGAUCAUCCUGUGGGAAAUCCUAAGUUGGUAUUAAUGGAACUGGGGGCAGGGGUGGGGGUGGGGGAGAAGCUGUGACAAUACCGGGCAGUGUCGUCUGCGGCCUGAAUAAUAACACAGCGCCUGACGUUGUGUGGUUACGGGACACCCUCACAUCCGUGUCUCGCCAAGCGGGAGAGGACAGAGGGACAGAGAGAGAGAGAGAGAGAGAGAGAGAGAGAGAGAGAAUCUUAGGCAGACUCCACGCCCAGUGUGGAGCCCAACUCAGGGCUCAGUCUCGCUGUGAGAUCACGAACCGUGAGGUCAUGACCUGAGCCAAAAUCGAGAGUCGGGCACUUAACUGACAGAACCGCCCAGGCGCCCCCAUCCAUUUCUUUAUUUGAUCCUCACGAUAGCUGUGUGUGGUGAUUAAGAGAAGCCCUAUCACCAUGUGCUGGUUCUAGAAACUGAGGCCCAGAGAGGGUAAGUGAUCUCUGUAAGUCACACAGCUAUUUGUGGAUAUAGCCAGAAACACUUUGAAGCUGGGUGGAGGGCUCAUUCAUUGACCCCAUUUCAAGGUGAGUGUGUGUGUGUGUGUGUGUCAUCCCCUUCAAGGGAGCCUAAGCCAAUGUGCUCUUGUUGAGGACGGGGACUGUGGGAAACGUUCACUGGGGCAUGAGGGUGCCUCCCUGCACCCACUGGCCUGCGCAAGGUCAGGGGGGUCCCUCUGGAAGCCAUAGGUCAGGCAAGCUUGAAGCCUCCUCCCGGAGCUGCCCAGCGCCGCGAGUUCCUGAAACCCAGAACCGCAGACGACGUCCAUUGUAACCAAAUCCUCUGACACGCCAGGGCCCUGGGACGCUUUCGGACGGGAUUAGAGAGACCCAGCUUUGGCUCCGGCCCUAGCCUGGCACCAGCCCCUCCGUCCCUCCCUGAACUGCAACUUCCUCCACCGUAAAGCUGAUAAGUGACCUCGGCCUGACUCCUUGGCACAUCUGUGUGAGGAGCACACGAGAGACUGGGGGCUCCCCUGCGGUGCCCUCACGGCUGCUGUCGCUCACGGGGCUCUGGGCCACGCGUGCCUGAGCCUCUGACAGCUGCCCUCCUCGUUGCCAAGCUGGCUUCACUUUAUUCAAGUCUCAGCUGGACAUCAAGACUCUCUGUGACCCACCGGCCUGCCAUCAACCACUGCAUCACAACACCCUGCUCACGCGGUUUGCUGGGAGCAGGCACGGUCUGGCAGGUGUGGCACCACUCACCAGGACAACUGUCUUCAAUGGUUGUGCAAACUCCACUUCGUCUCCAGGGCAUUUUCCGUCCUUGAUCUCACCCUACCGUUUGGAGCAGCCCUGUGAGAGCUUCCAGAAAAGUAAGAAAAAUGAGGCUCAGACUUGGCAAGCCUCUCACCAAUGCCUGCUUUCUACAUCACAGUGCCUGGCAUACGGUGAUCAUAGAGAGUAGCGUUGGCUGUUACUAUGGUUACCUGACCUUUGUCCAAAGGUGGAUCAUGUAAGUAUGAAUGUCUGCAGAGGUACAAAAUGACACAGAGCUGAACCAGGACUGGGGACAAGGAAAAGUAACUGUCAUGUGCAAGAGGGAGCUCUUGAGAAAUGCCUCUUAUUAAAUUACCUGAUGGCUCCAUCAUGUAGAGGCCUGAAUUGGGUGAAAGCUUACCUGCAACAAUGCCUCCUGAAAUAAAACACCCUUGUGUUCAUCUGUCCCAGGUAGCACCUGUGAUUGCUCAUCCACCAUGGGGUGCCUGGGUAACUGACUCAGAAAAAAAUUGAAACACCAUCACCCAUUAUCCCCCACAAAGGUAGAUUGACUUACAAAGGUAAAACCUGAAUGUGAUUAUAACUCAUUUGAUUGAUUUCAGUGGUUAAAUCUUGGGUCCCAGGAAUCUCUGCUCUGGGGAAUUUUUUAAUCCUUGUCUAUUACCAUCCUUACAGUCUUCGGAUUAACCUCUCAAAUGCAUUGUAUUCUCUCAAGGGUUUUACAUGCCUUCUGGCAGCCACUCAUACAUCGACGACUGUAUCUUCCCAUCAGGAUUAGACAACCGGGGGAUCCCAAUGAUCUGACCUUCCCGUGUCCAUGAUGACCAGCUGGCUGUUGAUAACAGUGGUUACGUGACCGUGAGCUUGAUGAUUCACCUGGCAGAAACAGCAAACAGGAGAUUCUUCCACUUGCCAUCAACAAGGGGCCAAAGUUUCCUUUGUACCCCUCUGAAUAGCCUGUUUUCCUACUGUGGCCUGUGCCCCGGUACAGCAGGUCAACCAGGUACCAGACAGAAGGGAAACAGAGGACCAGGGGCCAUUGUCAUAGAGCCGUAUGAGGAUGGGUUGAGGAUAGCCCGGUCUCUCAGGC